Molecule: ribosomal RNA, 423 nt
Filed under: uncultured bacterium
Lineage: Bacteria
Description: bacterial SSU rRNA
Rfam family: Bacterial small subunit ribosomal RNA
Source: RNAcentral
AAGACCUUGCACUUUUGGAGCGGCCGAUGUCUGAUUAGCUAGUUGGUGGGGUAAAGGCCUACCAAGGCAUCGAUCAGUAGCUGGUCUGAGAGGACGACCAGCCACACUGGGACUGAGACACGGCCCAGACUCCUACGGGAGGCAGCAGUGGGGAAUUUUGGACAAUGGGCGCAAGCCUGAUCCAGCCAUGCCGCGUGAGUGAAGAAGGCCUUCGGGUUGUAAAGCUCUUUCAGUCGGGAAGAAAAGGUUGCGACUAAUAAUCGUGAUCAAUGACGGGACCGAAAGAAGAAGCACCGGCUAACUACGUGCCAGCAGCCGCGGUAAUACGUAGGGUGCGAGCGUUAAUCGGAAUUACUGGGCGUAAAGGGUGCGCAGGCGGUUUUGUAAGUCAGAUGUGAAAUCCCCGGGCUUAACCUGGGAACU